GACGAACGCUGGCGGCGUGCCUAAUACAUGCAAGUCGAACGCAUAGUCUUUCACCGUAGCUUGCUACACCGAAAGAAAAUGGGGGGCGAACGGGGGAGUAACACGUGGGUAACCUGCCCAUCAGCGGGGGAUAACACUAGGAAACAGGGGCUAAUACCGCAAAAUUCAAGUUACCGCAGGGAAAAUGGGUGAAAGGCGCUUUUGCGGCACUGAUGGAGGGGCCCGAGGUGGUUUGGCAAGUUGGUGGGGUAAACGCCUACCAAGGGUGCGGGGCAUAGCCGGCCUGGGAAGGGGAUCGGCCACAAUGGGACUGGGACCCGGCCCCGACUCCUCCGGGGGGCAGCAGUAGGGGAUCUUCGGCCAUGGGCGCAAGUCUGAACGGGCAACGCCGCGGGAGUGAAUGAGGUUUUCGGAUCGUAAAAAUCUGUUGUUAGGGGAGAACAAGGAUGAGAGUGGAAAGUUCACCCCUUGACGGUAUCUAACCAGAAAGCCACGGCUAACUACGUG
RNAcentral lists this ribosomal RNA (507 nucleotides) under uncultured bacterium. Its description in RNAcentral is "partial 16S ribosomal RNA". It matches the Rfam family "Bacterial small subunit ribosomal RNA", at positions 28 to 507 of the family's 1533-position model. The record is from RNAcentral.